This 1347-nucleotide ribosomal RNA is filed under the name metagenome. RNAcentral's name for it is "bacterial LSU rRNA". It matches the Rfam family "Bacterial large subunit ribosomal RNA", at positions 1559 to 2925 of the family's 2925-position model. The record is from RNAcentral.
UGGGGAAUGAAACUAUUCUUUAUCGAAUGGAAUUUGGGCUAGUAUGUCGACCGGAAAAGCAUUCAGAUGUCAAAACAAUGUCCGACCGUACCGCAAACCAACACAGGUACCCAGGUCGAGUAGACCGAGGCGUGCGAGAGAACCCUUGUUAAGGAACUCGGCAACAAAAGCGACCGUAACUUCGGGAUAAGGUCUCCCUGCUUUUGCAGGGCGCAGUUAAUGAGUCCACGCGACUGUUUACCAAAAACACAGGUCUCUGCUAACACGAAAGUGGAUGUAUAGGGGCUGACGCCUGCCCGGUGCCGGAAGGUUAAGGAAGGGGGGUGUAUGCUUCCGACUGAAGCCCCGGUGAACGGCGGCCGUAACUAUAACGGUCCUAAGGUAGCGAAAUUCCUUGUCGGGUAAGUUCCGACCCGCACGAAUGGCGCAACGAUGUGGACGCUGUCUCAACAAGGGACUCGGUGAAAGUGCAUUGGCGGUAAAGAUGCCGUCUGUCCGCAUCAGGACGAGAAGACCCCGUGGAGCUUUACUACAGCUUGACAUUGAGUCGAGUGGCAGUUUGUGCAGGAUAGGUGGGAGACUUUGAAGCAGAUACGCUAGUAUUUGUGGAGUCGCCCGUGAAAUACCACCCCUGCUGUCAUUUGGCUCUUACGUGUGCCGUUAUCCGGUACGCGGACCGUGUCUGGUGGGUAGUUUAACUGGGGCGGUUGCCUCCUAAAGAGUAGCGGAGGCGUUCAAAGGUCAGCUUAGCUCGGAUGGAAAUCGAGUGGAAAGUGUAAGCGCACAAGCUGGCUUGACUGCGAGACCUACAAGUCAAGCAGGCACGAAAGUGGGAGCUAGUGACCCGCUGUCAGUACAUUUGUACAUGAGUGUGGUAUCGACAGCGCAAACGGAUAAAAGUUACCCCGGGGAUAACAGGCUUAUCGCGCCCAAUAGUUCACAUAGACGGCGCGGUUUGGCACCUCGAUGUCGGCUCAUCACAUCCUGGGACUGAAGCAGGCCCCAAGGGUUCGGCUGUCCGCCGAUUAAAGUGGUACGCGAGCUGGGUUCAGAACGUCGUGAGACAGUUCGGUUUAUAUCCGAUGCGGACGAAAGGAAAUUUGAGAGGACUUGCUUCUAGUACGAGAGGACCGAAGUGAACAUACCUCUGGUGUAUCAGUUGUCGUGUCAACGGCACUGCUGAGUAGCUAUGUAUGGAACGGAUAAGCGCUGAAAGCAUCUUAAGCACGAAACCAACCUCAAGAUUAGAUUUCCCUAUGAGAUCCCAGAUAGAUGAUCUGGUUGAUAGGCGCAAGGUGUACGCAUAGUAAUAUGUUUAGCCGAAGCGUACUAAUGAUCCAUUGUCUU